RNAcentral lists this ribosomal RNA (356 nucleotides) under uncultured type I methanotroph. RNAcentral's name for it is "bacterial SSU rRNA". It matches the Rfam family "Bacterial small subunit ribosomal RNA", at positions 359 to 716 of the family's 1533-position model. Lineage: Bacteria; Pseudomonadati; Pseudomonadota; Gammaproteobacteria; Methylococcales; Methylococcaceae. The record is from RNAcentral.
GCAUAUAUGGGGGGCACCUGAUCAGCAUGCCGCGUGUGUGAAGAAGGCCUUCGGGUUGUAAAGCACUUUUAUCCGGAACGAAACGUGCUGGGUGAAUACCCCCGUGUACUGACGGUACCUGAGGAAUAAGCACCGGCUAACUUCGUGCCAGCAGCCGCGGUAAUACGAAGGGUGCAAGCGUUACUCGGAAUUACUGGGCGUAAAGGGUGCGUAGGUGGUUUUUUAAGUCUGCUGUGAAAUCCCCGGGCUCAACCUGGGAAUGGCAGUGGAUACUGGAAAGCUGGAGUGCGGUAGAGGGUAGUGGAAUUCCCGGUGUAGCAGUGAAAUGCGUAGAGAUCGGAAGGAACACCAGUGGA